UGUUAUGGGUUUCUCUAAGUGUUGCUGUUUUAAGCCAUUGGUUCUCUUGGAGAAGCUUGUCAUGACUAGCUUCUUCAGUGAGUUCAACCACUGUCAUUGGACGAGCUCUGGACCUUGUUGAUGAGAAUGGCUGUGAUUCACUUUGGGGGAACUCUGGUCUUUCAUCAAGCAUCGCUUCCUGGCUCCAGAGGGGAAGAUAUCUGCUGUUUAGUCUCCAGGAGAAACUUGUCAUGCCGGCUCUCUGAGUGUUUCACUGUCACUUAGAAUUGUAACACUAGAGACAAGACUCACGUCUCAAGAAAAUGUUUUCGACAGCUGUAUCAGGGGUUCAGGUGGCCACCGGGGUGCGUGGAGAAGGCCCAGAAGCUGCCUUCCCUCUGUCGCCUGCCCGUGACCGACCACGCUGUCACGCGCAAUGGCUGAGCUGCACCUUGGCUGUGCACGUGUGCAGACCUUGAAAUUCCUCUUUACCGAUGAGGUAAGGUACAGGUUGAAGUAAAUUCUCUAAGGUCACACCACUAAUGGGCAGGAAAAAAUUGAGAUUUUUAUCACUGGGUUCAGAGUUCUCUCUAAGUGCAAAAUAAAUCCAAUUUAUAUGGCAUGAUCCUGGUUUUAUGUAUUAAAUUGAAGUCUCCAUAACGACCUUUAGACUUGAGAACAUGGUUUCUUUAAGAGCAGAAGUGGUGUGAGCUUUUACUGCUCUCCUUCCUAUUACUGUGUUCCACUAAAGUAAGUGUAUUAGAUUGAAGUGUUUUCUCCUAUUCUCUCUCACCGUUUUCAAAGCAAGGCUGGACAGUGAAAAUGCCUGCUCAUUGCUAGAGGUAUAGCUCAGCGGCAUAAAUGCCUGUCUGACGAGCUCAAGAUC
Molecule: long non-coding RNA, 865 nt
Organism: Cavia porcellus (domestic guinea pig)
Lineage: Eukaryota; Metazoa; Chordata; Mammalia; Rodentia; Caviidae
Exons: 3
Source: RefSeq, a predicted model, not a curated record